This 305-nucleotide ribosomal RNA is filed under the name uncultured bacterium. RNAcentral describes it as "bacterial SSU rRNA". It matches the Rfam family "Bacterial small subunit ribosomal RNA", at positions 335 to 651 of the family's 1533-position model. The record is from RNAcentral.
GCUCCUACGGGGGGCAGCAGUAGGGAAUUUUCGGCAAUGGGGGGAACCCUGAUGGUGCGACGCCGCGUGGGGGAAUGAAGGUCUUCGGAUUGUAAACCCCUGUCAUGUGGGAGCAAAUUAAAAAGAUAGUACCACAAGAGGAAGAGACGGCUAACUCUGUGCCAGCAGCCGCGGUAAUACAGAGGUCUCAAGCGUUGUUCGGAAUCACUGGGCGUAAAGCGUGCGUAGGCUGUUUCGUAAGUCGUGUGUGAAAGGCGCGGGCUCAACCCGCGGACGGCACAUGCUACUGCGAGACUAGAGUAAUG